Molecule: non-coding RNA, 2168 nt
Organism: Macaca mulatta (Rhesus monkey)
Lineage: Eukaryota; Metazoa; Chordata; Mammalia; Primates; Cercopithecidae
Source: RefSeq, a predicted model, not a curated record
AUACAGUCCAAGACGCUGGGCUUGGCAUUCGAGGCUCCAGGAGGCGCCCUUUCCAGCCCCACUUCUGCCAGGCACUGCCCUGUGCUCUGUUCACAGCGACCUGUGAGCUGCAUCCCCAGCCUGUGCCUCCUUACCCUGCUGUCUGCACCCGGUCCUGUCUGCCUGGAGCACUCUUCCCCCGACUUUCCCCACCCAGCUCACUCCCAUCAGACUUCAAAACAGCUCCAGGCAGCCUUCCCUGGGCCCCAGGUUGGGCUAAGCCCUCUCCUCUGCAGUGUCACAGCCCGGUCUGUGCCACAGCCCUGAUCCACUGGGUUGUCACAGUUUCCACCUCCAGCUGCCCCCAGGAUGGGUCCCCAACAUUACCCAGCAUGCAGCCUGGCACAGGGGCCCUGGGUGGACCUGGAUUGUGGGUGAGGUUUCAAGGCCCCUGGAAGAUGGCUCCACAGGCAGUGAGAAGUGGAGGAGAGGACAGCGUGGGGACCACGACAGUCUCCCUAGGGAAAGCCAACUAUGUCAUGUGGACACUCAUGCAGUCCUCUGGAGUGAGCCACAUGGUGAAAAAUGGAGUCCUCCUGCCACCAGCCAAAAGGGACUUGCCAGCCUUGUGAGUGAGCCGGCCCAGACACUCUAGCCCCAGUUAAACCUUCAGAGGACUGUGGCCUCACCAACAUCUUGACUGCAACUUCAUGACAGACCCAGAGCUACACCCAGGCAACCAGGCUGCUCCCCAAUUCCUGGCCCACAGACACUGAAUCAGGACACUUUGCCAGCUCAGAAGGAGAGAGGGAAAGAGACAGACACACACACAGAGAGACAGUGACACGGAGAAGUGCGCCAUGGGCUCACAGUACCAUGUGAACGACUGGGGCUGCACUUGUGUAAAGUGAAGGCAGUGGAGAAGUGAAGUGAAGUGAAGUGAAGUGAAGUGUAAGUGAAGUGGAAAGUGAAGGACGGUGGAGAGCACCCUUGCCCUUGCAGCUUGGCUGUGAUUGGCUUGGGGCUGCUGGUCUCUGACCCUGGCUGGGCUGGUGACACAGCCUAAGGUACCUGGGGUGGGGGAGAAUCUGACGCCCCUGUGCAGACCCCUCCCCGGCUCCCGUCCCCCUGUGCUGACACUGUCCGUCCCAGGCUCUCUUUGCCUCCAGACCAGAGCUCCUCCAGGGAAGAGGUGGAGUCUUAUUCAUCUGUGUCCCUUGCCUAGCACAAGGCCUGCCAGAGCAGGCUGGGCCAGGUGAGCACAGAAGGCCCUCUGGCCCUGGCCUCGGAGAGGCAUCAUCAGUGGGGACAGAGCGAGAACCAGGAUGAUCCUGUUUCUGACUGGAGGAGCUCCCAUUGGAUGGAUGAGCCAACAACGACAGUCCAGUGUGAUCAGGGAGAUUGGGACACACAGUGCCGUGGGGGCCCAGAGGAGCAGGGAGGAUCUCUUUGGAGGAGACUAGAAGGCUUCCCAGAGGAGGAGGCAUUUGAAGUGAGGCCCAAAUAGUAAACAGAAGCCAACCCAUGCAGGAGUGUUUUAGGCAGAGGGCACGGCCUAGCAGAGAGCACAGCCUGGCAAAGGUCUGAAGCUCCAGUUCCUGGGGGGUAGAGUGAAAGAGUAGAGCGUGCAGAGAGUAGGCUGCUGGGGCUCCCAUGGCUCUGGAGGCCAACAUGGGACUUGGGAGUGGCAGGGCACCAUGCUGACAGCAGGUGAAAUGUCACCUACAUCUGUCUCAUGGGGAAUUCAUUACAUUUGGGGUUGGGUUUGGGAGUUUUCUUUGGAAACCCAGGGUAGGGAGGAUCUGUAAGCUUGAGUCCGUCCAGGAUGGAGAGGGAGGGUAGGGGAGGACUGGAAGUCACCUGGGCAGCAGAAGUUUUACCGGGACCUCAGUGUCCGUUUGGUGUCUUGUGUUCUUGUGUGUUUCAAGGACUGAGCUUUCUCCCUUUGCCCCUCACAGAAAUUAACCAGUUUAUGUGCCCCGAAAAAUUCCCACCCUCUGGGUUUGCACACUGGGUCAGUCACUUACUAGCUGUGUGACUUCUCUGCUGCUUAGUUUACUCAUCUGUAAAAUGGGAUAAACACAAAACCUGCCUCAUAAAGAUAUUGUAAGGAUUAAACAGGGAAAAGAAUGUAAAACAUUUAGAAUGGUGCCUGACCCCCAGCAAGUAUAAAAUAAAUAUUGGCUAUU